This 1271-nucleotide ribosomal RNA is filed under the name Dorcus tenuihirsutus. Its description in RNAcentral is "16S ribosomal RNA". The stretch from base 1027 to 1185 matches the Rfam family "Archaeal large subunit ribosomal RNA", at positions 2542 to 2701 of the family's 2987-position model. The record is from RNAcentral. Lineage: Eukaryota; Metazoa; Arthropoda; Insecta; Coleoptera; Lucanidae.
UAUUGAAAUUUUUAUUUGUUUAGGGAUUUUAAAAGGAAUUAUGUGUUUUAGUAAUUUUAAUGAAAUAAUAAUUUUAAUUAUAGAUUAAUAGUACAGUGGAGGAAAAUGUAAAAUUAUGAAAAGAAUUUUUUAUUUAAGGUACCUUUUGUAUCAGGGUUUAUUAAAAAGGGUUUAGAUUUUAAGUUUUCUCGAAUUUAUAAGAGCUAAAAAUAUAUAAAUUUUAAUGUAAAAAAAUUAUUUAUAAUAUAUUUUUUGAUAUUAUACGUUAGUCGGGUAUAAAUAUAUCUAGUUUUUUAAGAAAUUAAUUUAAUUAAGCUGGUUUUUAGGGUUAUUUAUUUUAUAAAUAGGUCCAAUAAUUAAGUAAUAUUUAAGGGGAUAAGCUUUUAAGUAGAAUUUUAUAAGAAGUUUACAAUUUAAAGUUGAGUAGGAAUAGAAGUUUUCAUUUUUUAUAGUGUUUUAUAUCAAGACUUUAAUUUAGGUGAUUUUUUUUUUUUUAGUUUGUUUAUUAAAAUAUUAAAAUUAAUUUAAUAGUUUUAAGUAAUAAUGAUAAAAUUAGUAUAGAAAUUUGUUUAAAUAUUUAUAAAUAUGAAUUUUAAUUAAGGAAUUCGGCAAAUAUAUUUUCUGCCUGUUUAUUAAAAACAUGGCCUUUUGGGAAUAAUUUAAGGUCAGGCCUGCCCCAUGAUUAAUUAAAUGGCCGCGGUACUCUGACCGUGCAAAGGUAGCAUAAUCAUUAGUUUUUUAAUUGAAAGCUGGAAUGAACGGUCUUACAAGAAAAUUACUGUCUCAAUUAAAUUAUUUUAGAAUUUUAUUUUUUAGUUAGAAAGCUAAAAUGUUUUAAGGGGACGAGAAGACCCUAUAGAAUUUAAUAAGUUUUUUUAGAUUGAAUUUUUAGUAUUAUUGUUUUGGUUUAGAAAUAUUUAUUUUGUUGGGGUGAUUGGAAAAUUUAAUAAACUUUUUUUUUAUAAGAUUACUAAUGUGUAUAUUUAUGAUCCGUUUAUUACGAUUAAAAGAAUAAAUUACCUUAGGGAUAACAGCGUAAUUAGUUUGGAGAGUUCUUAUCGAUAAACUAGUUUGCGACCUCGAUGUUGGAUUAAAAUUAACUUUUGGUGUAGGGGCUAAAAGGUUAAGUCUGUUCGACUUUUAAAAUUUUACAUGAUCUGAGUUUAAACCGGCGUGAGCCAGGUUGGUUUCUAUCUCUUAAUAGUUUUAAUAUUUUAGUACGAAAGGACCAAGUAUUAGUUUUAUUAAUUUAUUUUUGAAUAUUAUUAUUG